UGAAUGUGGGCAAUGUUAAAA
RNAcentral lists this microRNA (21 nucleotides) under Oryza sativa (Asian cultivated rice). Its description in RNAcentral is "osa-miR11343-3p". Lineage: Eukaryota; Viridiplantae; Streptophyta; Magnoliopsida; Poales; Poaceae. The record is from miRBase by way of RNAcentral.